Molecule: non-coding RNA, 843 nt
Organism: Arachis ipaensis
Lineage: Eukaryota; Viridiplantae; Streptophyta; Magnoliopsida; Fabales; Fabaceae
Source: RefSeq, a predicted model, not a curated record
AUUAGUUGGGAAUUUCUGAAUGUAGGAGGGUGUUGAAGCCUUGGCAGAAGAUGUUCUAGCAAAGCCUAUACCUUCCAAGCGUUCAUCAAAGAGGAACAGAGCAGCAGAAGUUCAUAAUUUAGAAGAAGGAGUAGGAUCAAUAAAAAAAUGAAGGCCUUGCAACAUCUAAGUCAGAAUUCUAUCAAGGGCUGAUGUGAUUCAAAGUCGGCUAAGAUGAAGCUAGCGAGCUUUAGUGUCAUCAACUCAUCAAGUCUACAUAUGGCAUCAAUGAAUAUCUAAAAUUUUUUUUAGUAUUACGAAUAUACAAGCUUUAAUUGGAGAAAAAGAGAUUAGAGGAGGAUGCUUUUGUUUAUAAUUCACUUCAACAACAGCCUAAACUCUCACCAGUGUACCAGAAGAUGCUUGAAGUUGGGUCUUGCAUGGACAAGGUGAAAUCCUGUGAACUGGUAGAGAACAGAGACGACAAAUUUGCUGACAUUUCUUUUGAAGAAUUAUUAGCACAAGAAAAAAAGGUUUCAUUCUUGCAAAAAAAUGGGAAAUAAAGACCAUGCUGAAGCUAAUAACAGUUUCUGGCAUGGCUAAAUGUAACCAGAAUUUGUUUAAUAUGAAAAUGAGAUACAACAUAGAACCAUAAGACUGAUGAGUAUGAAAGAAUCAACCUUCUCAUGGUCCCCAAUGUUUUGAAAGCCAUCCUCAAUAGAGCUUCCAAACACAGAGGACUUCUCAGGACACCACUGAAGCAUAUGCAUAAUUGUAGGUUAAUAUUCACGGUAGAAAAAUCUCCAUAGUUGACCACUGAUAAACCCAUAUUUUAUGAUAUAUUUUGUGCUUAAAUUGAGUGAU